AGCAUAUCAAUAAGCGGAGGAAAAGAAACCAACAGGGAUUGCCCUAGUAAACGGCGAGUGAAGCGGCAACAGCUCAAAUUUGAAAUCUGGCUCUCGGGCCCGAGUUGUAAUUUGUAGAGGAUGCUUUUGAUGCGGUGCCUUCCGAGUUCCCUGGAACGGGACGCCAUAGAGGGUGAGAGCCCCGUCUGGUUGGAUACCAAAUCUCUGUAAAGCUCCUUCGACGAGUCGAGUAGUUUGGGAAUGCUGCUCUAAAUGGGAGGUAUAUGUCUUCUAAAGCUAAAUACUGGCCAGAGACCGAUAGCGCACAAGUAGAGUGAUCGAAAGAUGAAAAGCACUUUGAAAAGAGAGUUAAAAAGUACGUGAAAUUGUUGAAAGGGAAGCGUUUAUGACCAGACUUGGGCUUGGAUAAUCAUCUGGGGUUCUCCCCAGUGCACUUUUCCAGUCCAGGCCAGCAUCAGUUUUCGCCGGGGGAUAAAGGCUUCGGGAAUGUGGCUCCCUCCGGGGAGUGUUAUAGCCCGUUGCGUAAUACCCUGGGGGGGACUGAGGUUCGCGCAUCUGCAAGGAUGCUGGCGUAAUGGUCAUCAACGACCCGUCUUGAAACACGGACCAAGGAGUCGUCUUCGUAUGCGAGUGUUCGGGUGUCAAACCCCUACGCGUAAUGAAAGUGAACGCAGGUGAGAGCUUCGGCGCAUCAUCGACCGAUCCUGAUGUUCUCGGAUGGAUUUGAGUAAGAGCAUACGGGGCCGGACCCGAAAGAAGGUGAACUAUGCCUGUAUAGGGUGAAGCCAGAGGAAACUCUGGUGGAGGCUCGCAGCGGUUCUGACGUGCAAAUCGAUCGUCAAAUAUGGGCAUGGGGGCGAAAGACUAAUCGAACCUUCUAGUAGCUGGUUUCCGCCGAAGU
This 901-nucleotide ribosomal RNA is filed under the name Fusarium reticulatum var. reticulatum. Its description in RNAcentral is "LSU rRNA". It matches the Rfam family "Eukaryotic large subunit ribosomal RNA", at positions 37 to 967 of the family's 3401-position model. The record is from RNAcentral. Lineage: Eukaryota; Fungi; Ascomycota; Sordariomycetes; Hypocreales; Nectriaceae.